RNAcentral lists this ribosomal RNA (579 nucleotides) under Triticum aestivum (bread wheat). RNAcentral's name for it is "partial small subunit ribosomal RNA". Lineage: Eukaryota; Viridiplantae; Streptophyta; Magnoliopsida; Poales; Poaceae. The record is from RNAcentral.
AGUUGUCGUGGGAUUGGCGACCCUGCGACAGUCCAUGAGCUCCGCGAUAUAGUGGGGGCUAGUGCGCCGUCGGUUCUUUGCAUUGUGGAGACUCAAAUUGCAAAAAAUCGAGUGGAAGGUUUGGCGGCUUCUUUAGGUUUUCAAAAUAGUUUUACAGUUCCUAGCAGUGGGCGUAGUGGCGGGCUUUGUAUUUUUUGGAAGGCAGAAGUGAACUUGGCAAUAAAAAAUUUCUUGUAGUAUCAUAUAGACUUGUGGGUUUCUGAACCAGGGUCUGAGCAAUGGCGCCUCACAUGUUUCUAUGGUGAGGCCAACAGGAGUUUGAGGUAUAAAACAUGGGACACCAUGAAGGUUGAGGGGGAGAGCACGCUACCCUGGCUUUGCAUAGGUGAUUUCAACGAGAUUCUUCGUCAGGAGGAGCAAAUGGGCCCUAAUCCUCGUGAUAGCGCACAAAUGGAGGGUUUCAGAGAAGCGGUGGAUAUAUGUGAAUUGGCUGACUUGGGAUACUGUGGUCUAACUGGACUUUUGAGAAACGAGUUACGUGAGGUGAUUUUUGUAGAGUCCGGUUGGACCGGGCUUUAG